This is a long non-coding RNA of Calypte anna (Anna's hummingbird), 213 nucleotides long. RefSeq lists it as uncharacterized. Lineage: Eukaryota; Metazoa; Chordata; Aves; Apodiformes; Trochilidae. The record is from RefSeq and is a predicted model, not a curated record. The transcript is spliced from 3 exons.
GAAGCAAGUUUGCCAGGUUCACCCAUGCUGGUCUGGAGUUUCCAGGGACUUUGGGAUUGAAAUAGAUAUGCCAGGGGAGGUUCUAAAACUGAAGAUGGCUACAAGCUAAAAUGCUACAAAGAGCAGAACAGCAGAGGAGCAGGCUUGCGUGGGAUAGAGGAGUGCUGUAGAUUCCCUGGCACUCACUGACCCUGAAGAAGAACAAAGAGCUGU